CCUACGGGGGGCUGCAGUGAGGAAUAUUGGUCAAUGGGCGAGAGCCUGAACCAGCCAAGUCGCGUGAAGGAUGACGGCCCUACGGGUUGUAAACUUCUUUUGUCAGGGAGCAAUUGGGUCCACGCGUGGGCUUAGCGAGAGUACCUGAAGAAAAAGCAUCGGCUAACUCCGUGCCAGCAGCCGCGGUAAUACGGAGGAUGCGAGCGUUAUACGGAGUUAUUGGGUUUAAAGGGUGCGUAGGCGGAAUAUCAAGUCAGCGGUAAAAAUUCGGGGCUCAACCCCGUCGUGCCGUUGAAACUGGUGGUCUUGAGUGGGCGAGAAGUAUGCGGAAUGCGUGGUGUAGCGGUGAAAUGCAUAGAUAUCACGCAGAACUCCGAUUGCGAAGGCAGCAUACCGGCGCCCAACUGACGCUGAGGCACGAAAGCGUGGGUAUCGAACAGGAUUAGAUACCCCAGUAGUC
This 460-nucleotide ribosomal RNA is filed under the name uncultured bacterium. Its description in RNAcentral is "partial 16S ribosomal RNA". It matches the Rfam family "Bacterial small subunit ribosomal RNA", at positions 338 to 795 of the family's 1533-position model. The record is from RNAcentral.